RNAcentral lists this ribosomal RNA (465 nucleotides) under uncultured bacterium. RNAcentral describes it as "partial 16S ribosomal RNA". It matches the Rfam family "Bacterial small subunit ribosomal RNA", at positions 28 to 507 of the family's 1533-position model. The record is from RNAcentral.
GACGAACGCUGGCGGCGUGCUUAACACAUGCAAGUCGAACGGAAAGGCCCUGCUUGCAGGGUACUCGAGUGGCGAACGGGUGAGUAACACGUGGGUGAUCUGCCCUGCACUUCGGGAUAAGCCUGGGAAACUGGGUCUAAUACCGGAUAGGAGCCAUUUUUAGUGUGAUGGUUGGAAAGUUUUUUCGGUGUAGGAUGAGCUCGCGGCCUAUCAGCUUGUUGGUGGGGUAAUGGCCUACCAAGGCGGCGACGGGUAGCCGGCCUGAGAGGGUGGACGGCCACAUUGGGACUGAGGUACGGCCCAGACUCCUACGGGAGGCAGCAGUGGGGAAGAUUGCACAAGGGGCGCAAGCCUGAUGCAGCGACGCCGCGGGGGGGAUGACGGCCUUCGGGUUGUAAACUCCUUUCGCUAGGGACGAAGCUUUUUGUGACGGUACCUAGAUAAGAAGCACCGGCUAACUACGUG